UGCCAGACUCCUACGGGAGGCAGCAGUGGGGAAUAUUGGGCAAUGGGCGCAAGCCUGACCCAGCAAUGCCGCGUGAAGGAAGAAGGCUUUCGGGUUGUAAACUUCUUUGACAGGGGAAGAGCAGAAGACGGUACCCUGAAAACAAGCCACGGCUAACUACGUGCCAGCAGCCGCGGUAAUACGUAGGGGGCAAGCGUUAUCCGGAUUUACUGGGUGUAAAGGGAGCGUAGGUGGCAGGGCAAGUCAGAUGUGAAAACCCGGGGCUCAACCCCGGGAGUGCAUUUGAAACUGUCCAGCUGGAGUGCAGGAGAGGUAAGCGGAAUUCCUAGUGUAGCGGUGAAAUGCAUAGAUAUUAGGAGGAACACCAGUGGCGAAGGCGGCUUACUGGACUGUAACUGACACUGAGGCUCGAAAGCGUGGGGAGCAAACAGGAUUAGAUACCCGUGUA
This 448-nucleotide ribosomal RNA is filed under the name uncultured bacterium. Its description in RNAcentral is "bacterial SSU rRNA". It matches the Rfam family "Bacterial small subunit ribosomal RNA", at positions 329 to 792 of the family's 1533-position model. The record is from RNAcentral.